This 81-nucleotide ribosomal RNA is filed under the name Boechera puberula. RNAcentral's name for it is "partial 18S ribosomal RNA". Lineage: Eukaryota; Viridiplantae; Streptophyta; Magnoliopsida; Brassicales; Brassicaceae. The record is from RNAcentral.
GUGAACCUGCGGAAGGAUCAUUGUCGAAACCUGUCAAAAACAGAACGACCCGCGAACAAACGAUCACCACUCGCGGUGGGC